This 253-nucleotide ribosomal RNA is filed under the name uncultured bacterium. RNAcentral's name for it is "partial 16S ribosomal RNA". It matches the Rfam family "Bacterial small subunit ribosomal RNA", at positions 524 to 776 of the family's 1533-position model. The record is from RNAcentral.
UACGUAGGGUGCAAGCGUUAUCCGGAAUUAUUGGGCGUAAAGAGCUCGUAGGCGGUUUGUCGCGUCUGCUGUGAAAACCCGAGGCUCAACCUCGGGCCUGCAGUGGGUACGGGCAGACUAGAGUGCGGUAGGGGAGAUUGGAAUUCCUGGUGUAGCGGUGGAAUGCGCAGAUAUCAGGAGGAACACCGAUGGCGAAGGCAGAUCUCUGGGCCGUAACUGACGCUGAGGCACGAAAGCGUGGGGAGCAAACAGG